Molecule: ribosomal RNA, 461 nt
Filed under: uncultured bacterium
Lineage: Bacteria
Description: partial 16S ribosomal RNA
Rfam family: Bacterial small subunit ribosomal RNA
Source: RNAcentral
CCUACGGGUGGCAGCAGUGAGGAAUAUUGGUCAAUGGGCUUACGCCUGAACCAGCCAAGUCGCGUGAGGGAAGACUGCCCUAUGGGUUGUAAACCUCUUUUGUCAGGGAGCAACGCCGGCUACGUGUAGCCGGACUGAGAGUACCUGAAGAAAAAGCAUCGGCUAACUCCGUGCCAGCAGCCGCGGUAAUACGGAGGAUGCGAGCGUUAUCCGGAUUUAUUGGGUUUAAAGGGUGCGUAGGCGGCAUUGUAAGUCAGCGGUGAAAUUCUGGGGGUCAACCAUGGCAUGGCCGUUGAAACUGGCAGGCUUGAGUAGGCUUGAGGCAGGCGGAAUGCGUGGUGUAGCGGUGAAAUGCAUAGAUAUCACGCAGAACCCCGAUUGCGAAGGCAGCAUGCCAGGGCCUGACUGACGCUGAUGCACGAAAGCGUGGGGAUCAAACAGGAUUAGAUACCCCUGUAGUC